UAGAGCAGUACGGUCAACUAAAACUUAAAGAACUUGGCGGUUUUCUAGAUCUCCUUGGAGGAGCUUGUCAUCGAAUUGAUAACCCACAAGACACCUCACCAACUCAAGACUUAUCAGCUUGUAUACCAUCGUCGUCAGCUCACAUCAAAAGAGAGUAAGCCAAAUGGAAAAUACCCACAACGUCAGAUCAAGGUGCAGCUAAUGAGCUGGGGAUAGAUGAGCUACUUUAUUCACAAAACAGAGGAAGUAACCA
Molecule: ribosomal RNA, 253 nt
Filed under: Holothuria scabra
Lineage: Eukaryota; Metazoa; Echinodermata; Holothuroidea; Aspidochirotida; Holothuriidae
Description: partial small subunit ribosomal RNA
Source: RNAcentral